CAAGUCCCAAAGUUCUAAAAUUUUCAAAGCUCCCAAAGCUUCUAAGUUUCAAAAGAAAAGAAUGAUAGAAAAUCUUUUAUAAGACUAAGGGUUAUGACUCACUAGAUUUACAAGAAUGAUUUGUUAUACUUGAUUUUAUAUUUAAGUAUUUUACAAAAUCAAGCUUAUGUGAUUCAUAUACAUUCAGCAUGCAUUUAUUUUCUAAUUAUGAUGAUGUCU
This 219-nucleotide long non-coding RNA is filed under the name Capsicum annuum. RNAcentral's name for it is "long non-coding RNA (CANN_LNC002806)". The record is from RNAcentral. Lineage: Eukaryota; Viridiplantae; Streptophyta; Magnoliopsida; Solanales; Solanaceae.